Molecule: long non-coding RNA, 2868 nt
Filed under: Gallus gallus (chicken)
Lineage: Eukaryota; Metazoa; Chordata; Aves; Galliformes; Phasianidae
Source: RNAcentral
GCAACCUGUUCAGUGCGUCACCACCCUCUGGGUGAAAAACUUCUUCCUAAUAUCCAACCUAAACCUCCCCUGUCUCAGUUUAAGACCAUUCCCCAUUGUCCUAUCACUAUCCACCCUCAUAAACAGAUGCUCAUGGCCAGCGUUGAUUGUAACUGCUGCCAGUGCUGCGUGUUCUGGGUAGCCAGGAAUGGGAGCAGUGACAUCAGCAAGGGUGGAUUUGUGACUGUUUUAUUGGGAACUGCUGAAUUUCCCCCCUCCCAGCUCACCUUCCUACUGUUUGCCUCAAUCAGGUGUGUAGCUUCAUUGGGCAUUCGGUGGCGGGGUCUGCUGUGCUUCCUUUUAAUGCUUUUAGUGCCGUUCCUGGAACUGCAGCGUCUGGGGAAAAGCAUUUGAAAUUGCACAUCAUUAGCAUGCUGAAGAGGAGGUAAUGUAUGUAAAGCAUUUGACCUCCCUCUGGCUCCUGUGGCCGGGACAAAUUCUGAUCUCAUUUGCAGCAGUGCGGAUUCCGAGUAUCUACAUUAAGCACAUUAAGUUCAGUGGAGUUACCCUGAAUUUAUACUGCCGCACCUGGUAAAUGGGAGAUGUCACUAACAGCCUUUUUGUGACCCAAGGGAAGGAAGUAAUGAAGGCAACCUGCAAAUGCGGGGAUGAAAACAGUUCCCGACAACAGGACUUCUGCUGGGGUGUGAAAUUUAUUGGGAGCUGCUGCAUGCUCAGCGUUUUUUAAAGCCAGCUCACGGUUUUGGUGCUGAAGUAUGGAAUGAGGAGCCUUAAUGCUGGCCUUGAGAUUGGAAAACAUGUCAAAGGUUACCUGGGACCCACCUGAAGAAAAGGGGAGAGGAUUGAGAGAAGUUAAAGGAUGGAGAAGGGGAAAUCUUUCAUUUCUUGUUUUCAUUCCUUUUUCCAAGAGGGAAGAGAAGAAGGUGGGGAAGAGUUGAAAAACAAAACCAGAAAAAGAGGAGGGAGUGGAACCUAAAGCCCGUUUCACGCAAAAUUAGUUGAAGGGAUUAAAUAUCCCACAAAAUAACGAGUGCCACAUUUUUUAUUCUCUCCCUGGAUGAGUAAAACACCCGUGAAACAUCCACCAUGCAUUUCCGUUCAGCUAAUCCCCGCCUGCACACUCCAAAUUCAAUAUCGCCAGCUAUUCUCGGUGCUAAAGAAUCAUUUUACUUUUUCCAAGUACACAGAAAAUUUGAAACAGCUGGAAACGAAAAACGAAGGAUUCCUUUGUGUGCAAAUCUCCAUCCUGAGUCUCAGCAAGGAGGGAAACCUGCGCUGUGCUGGUGGUGGAUGUGAUGGAGAUGCAGUGAGCCUGACCCGGUGCUGGGUGCCCCUUGGAGCCACGUGUCCCUUCCUUGCUUAUUUGAGGGAAACAGCCAGAUUUUGACAUGCCAGCUUCCUCAGAAGAAGAAUCGUUGGUCUGUUGCCUGCACGUGUUGGAUGUUAAUACGCAGAUGAUUGGUCUUGAAAAUAUUUCAAGUUUCAGUGUGGGCUCUCAUUCAUCCAUGCAAGAGGAGACCUGUGGCUCCGGGGUAAGAUUGAUCCAUCUCUCUGGAUCCCAGUGCCUUAUGGGGUGGAAGAGGGAGGAACUGUUGUGCAGAGGAGGAAGCUCCUCUCCAUGGGAGUCCGUUGGGUUUGAGUCCAAAUGGCUGGACACUCACAGACCCGGCGCCGUGUCCCUGCCGUGUGCUCCCUGCGCACUGCUUGGGUCUCAUUCCAGAUGUACAUAAAUGACAUUUAACAUUAUUAGCGACAGGAUGAGGGGAAAUGGCUUUAAACUGGAAGAGCAUCAAUUUAGACUAGAUAUUAGGAAGAAAUUCUUAUUGUGGGGGUGCUGAGACUCUGGAACAGCUUGCCCAGAGAGGUCACGGAUGCCACCAGGCUGGAAGCACUCAAGGCCAGGCUGGAUGGGGCUGUGAGCAACCUGGUCUAGAGGGAGGUGUCCCUACCUAUAGCAGGGGGUUGGAACUAGAUGAUCUUAAAGGUCCCUUCCAACCCAAACCAUUCUAUGAUUAUUAGAUUAAUUUGGACAAAACCCCCCAUAUUAGGUCUGCCUUACAGGACCCAGUUGUCCAAUAACUUUCACUCCCAAACUGUCCACUUUGCAUCAGAUUCUUAGAAAAUCCACACUGUAAGUUGGGAUUGUGCGCUGGGGUUUCUGUGUGUGCUUUUGUUUUCCACGCAGGAGGAAAUCUGUAGCUAAUGGGAGUUUCCAUUUAUGAGAUUCUACAGCUCUUCCAGCAUUCCCCUGCACUGGUCCCAGGAGCUGAAUUUAUGACAAGAAGUUUCAAAGCGAGCUGUAUAAGGAAGAAGCAAGUCUGAGAUCCUGCUCUGCCCAUGCCAGGAGGUCCCAGGUUCCUUCCAAGCUUAUGCCCAGGAUUUGGUUUCAGCAGUAAUCUAAGGGAAGUGGUUGGCUCUCUCCUGCCUGUGCCUGACCCCUGUCCAACAGCACGAAGGAGAAUGAAGAGGAUGGACUUUGCUGGAGGCAGGAACCUCUCCAAGGUGUGGAUCUGCUGCAUGUGCCCAUCUGGAAUUUUUAACGCCGUGAGGCUCAAGGGACGUCUUGACUGUUCCUCAUUCCAACUCUUGCUGGAUUACCUGUCCAAGGCUCCAUAAUUGCAGCUGCUGCUGAGAUAACAAAGUCUGCUUUGGGACCAGCAGUGCAGCCCCUGGGAAGCACUGAUCCCCCUCUGUGUCAGGAUGUGCUGUCUGCAGGGCAGCUGAGUGAGUCAAGGGCUGGAUUUGCCUGGCUCUGAACUGAACAAAUACAGCAAGGCACAGCCUGCUCCAAGCUUCUUUAGGUCCAGCAAGAGAAUCCAGAAGGGAUUUACAACCAAAUCAAGAGAAAAGGUGACCAAGGCAGAAGUA